RNAcentral lists this ribosomal RNA (253 nucleotides) under uncultured bacterium. Its description in RNAcentral is "partial 16S ribosomal RNA". It matches the Rfam family "Bacterial small subunit ribosomal RNA", at positions 524 to 776 of the family's 1533-position model. The record is from RNAcentral.
UACGGAGGGUGCAAGCGUUGCUCGGAAUCACUGGGCGUAAAGCGUGCGCAGGCGGUUUUGUAAGCCAGAUGUGAAAUCCCCGGGCUUAACCUGGGAAUGGCAUUUGGGACUGCAAGGCUCGAGUGCGGCAGAGGAGACUGGAAUUCCUGGUGUAGCAGUGAAAUGCGUAGAUAUCAGGAGGAACACCGAUGGCGAAGGCAGGUCUCUGGGCUGACACUGACGCUCAUGCACGAAAGCGUGGGGAGCAAACAGG